GAUGAACGCUGACAGAAUGCUUAACACAUGCAAGUCGAUGGGGAUGUGGUGCUUGCACCAUGGUAACCAUGGCGGACGGGUGAGUAACGCGUAAGGAACUUACCUGCGGGACCGGGAUAACAGCAGGAAACUGCUGACAAGACCGGAUAAGGUCAUUAAGCUGCAUAGCUUAGUGAUGAAAGGAGACGCCUGCGGAGAGCCUUGCGUCCUAUUAGCUAGUUGGAGGGGUAACGGCCCACCAAGGCGAAGAUAGGUAGCCGGCCUGAGAGGGUGGACGGCCACAAGGGGACUGAGAUACGGCCCUUACUCCUACGGGAGGCAGCAGUGGGGAAUAUUGGACAAUGGGGGCAACCCUGAUCCAGCAAUUCUGUGUGCACGAAGACGGUUUUCGGAUUGUAAAGUGCUUUCAGCAGGGAAGAAGGAAGUGACGGUACCUGCAGAAGAAGCGACGGCUAAAUACGUG
Molecule: ribosomal RNA, 463 nt
Filed under: uncultured bacterium
Lineage: Bacteria
Description: partial 16S ribosomal RNA
Rfam family: Bacterial small subunit ribosomal RNA
Source: RNAcentral